Molecule: ribosomal RNA, 505 nt
Filed under: uncultured bacterium
Lineage: Bacteria
Description: bacterial SSU rRNA
Rfam family: Bacterial small subunit ribosomal RNA
Source: RNAcentral
UCCUGGCUCAGGAUGAACGCUAGCUACAGGCUUAACACAUGCAAGUCGAGGGGUAGCAGGGUAGCAAUACCGCUGACGACCGGCGCACGGGUGAGUAACACGUAUCCAACCUUCCCAUAACUCAGGGAUAGCCUUUCGAAAGAAAGAUUAAUACCUGAUAGUACUUUUUCAAGGCAUCUUGAGAAAGUUAAAGAUUUAUUGGUUAUGGAUGGGGAUGCGUUCCAUUAGAUAGUUGGUGAGGUAACGGCUCACCAAGUCUUCGAUGGAUAGGGGUUCUGAGAGGAAGGUCCCCCACAUUGGUACUGAGACACGGACCAAACUCCUACGGGAGGCAGCAGUGAGGAAUAUUGGUCAAUGGGCGAGAGCCUGAACCAGCCAAGUAGCGUGAAGGAAUGAAGGUCCUAUGGAUUGUAAACUUCUUUUAUAGUAGAAUAAAGUGAUCCACGUGUGGAUUUUUGUAUGUAUACUAUGAAUAAGGAUCGGCUAACUCCGUGCCAGCCGCCGC